AUUGAACGCUGGCGGCAGGCCUAACACAUGCAAGUCGAACGAGUGGCGGACGGGUGAGUAAUGUCUGGGAAACUGCCUGAUGGAGGGGGAUAACUACUGGAAACGGUAGCUAAUACCGCAUACCAUCAGAUGUGCCCAGGUGGGAUUAGCUUGUUGGUUGGGUAACGGCUCACCAAGGCGACGACCCCUAGCGGGUCUGAGAGGAUGAGCAGCCACACUGGGCCUGCGACACGGUCCAGACUCCUACGGGAGGCUGCAGUCGGGAAUAUUGCACAAUGGGCGCAAGCCCGAUGCAGCCAUGCCGCGUGGAUGAAGAAGGCCUUCGGGUUGUAAAGUACUUUCCGCGUGUAGCCGUUACCCGCAGAAGAAGCACCGGCUAACUCCGUGCCAGCAGCCGCGGUAAUUC
Molecule: ribosomal RNA, 406 nt
Filed under: uncultured bacterium
Lineage: Bacteria
Description: partial 16S ribosomal RNA
Rfam family: Bacterial small subunit ribosomal RNA
Source: RNAcentral